AGUGAACGCUGGCGGCGUGCUUAACACAUGCAAGUCGAACGAGAACGGGUUAUAGCUUGCUAUAAUUGUCAGCUAAGUGGCGCACGGGUGAGUAAUGUAUAGGUAAUAUGCCUCUUACUAAGGGUUAACAAAUGGAAACGUUUGCUAAUACCUUAUACUCCUUAUUAACAGAAGUUAAUAAUGGAAAGAUUUAUUGGUAAGAGAUUAGCCUGUAUUGUAUCAGUUAGUUGGUGGGGUAAUGGCUUACCAAGACUAUGACCCAUAACUGGUUUGGGAGAAUGAUCAAUCACACUGGAACUGAGACACGGUCCAGACUCCUACGGGAGGCAGCAGUGUGGAAUAUUGAACAAUGGACGAAAGUCUGAUGCAGCAACGCCGCGUGGAGGAUGACACAUUUCGGUGCGUAAACUCCUUUUAUAUGAGAAGAUAAUGACGGUAUUAUAUGAAUAAGCACCGGCUAACGCCGUGCCAGCCGCCGCAGUAA
Molecule: ribosomal RNA, 484 nt
Filed under: uncultured bacterium
Lineage: Bacteria
Description: partial 16S ribosomal RNA
Rfam family: Bacterial small subunit ribosomal RNA
Source: RNAcentral